CCUACGGGAGGCAGCAGUGGGGAAUAUUGCACAAUGGGCGAAAGCCUGAUGCAGCAACGCCGCGUGAAGGAAGAAGGGUUUCGGCUCGUAAACUUCUAUCAACAGGGACGAAAGAAAUGACGGUACCUGAAUAAGAAGCCCAGGCUAACUACGGGCCAGCAGCCGCGGUAAUACGGAGGGGGCAAGCGUUAUCCGGAAUUAAUGGGUGUAAAGGGUGAGUAGGCGGCAUGGUAAGCCAGCUGUGAAAGACUGUGGCUUAACCAGAGGAUUGGAUUUGAAACUAGCAAGCUAGAGUACAGUAGAGGAAAGCGGAAUUCGUGGUGUAGCGGUGAAAUGCGUAGAUAUUAGGAAGAACACCAGUUGCGAAGGCAGCUUUCUGGACUGAAACUGACGCUGAGGCACGAAAGCGUGGGGAGCGAACAGGAUUAGAUACCCGGGUAGUC
Molecule: ribosomal RNA, 443 nt
Filed under: uncultured bacterium
Lineage: Bacteria
Description: partial 16S ribosomal RNA
Rfam family: Bacterial small subunit ribosomal RNA
Source: RNAcentral